CACGUAGGCGGACCAAACAGUCAGGCGUGAAAGCCCCGGGCUUAACCUGGGAACUGCGUUUGAUACUGCUGGUCUAGAGUCCGGGAGAGGGUAGUGGAAUUCCCAGUGUAGAGGUGAAAUUCGUAGAUAUUGGGAAGAACACCGGUGGCGAAGGCGGCUACCUGGACCGGUACUGACGCUAAGGUGCGAAAGCGUGGGGAGCAAACA
This 207-nucleotide ribosomal RNA is filed under the name uncultured bacterium. RNAcentral's name for it is "partial 16S ribosomal RNA". It matches the Rfam family "Bacterial small subunit ribosomal RNA", at positions 568 to 774 of the family's 1533-position model. The record is from RNAcentral.